UGGAGAAAUCGAAGUGUUGACCAAUAGAAGACGCCAAAUUACAGUGAAGGUUUGAAGGAAAUCUUUCCCUUGAAGUUCCAAAUGCAUGGAUUUGGUAGGCAAGCAGAGCUGAGGAUACCAUAUACAUCGAUCAGAUUUUUCGCUGAUGUAAGGAUGUGUGCAGGUCCUUACAGAGACUCUUAUAAUUAUACGCACUUGUUACAAAAAUGUAAAGGCACCAAAUGCGUUCAAAAAGUGCAUUCUCAGAUCAUCACUGGAGGAUAUGAGCAGAACCGAUUUGUUACUUCAAAGUUAGUUGGCAAAUAUUGUGAGAGCUCAAACAUGGGAUAUGCAAGGAAGGUGUUUGAUAGUUUGUUUGAAAGAGAUAUUUUCUUGUGGAAUUUGAUUAUUCAAGGUUAUGCAAAUUUUGGUCCUCGCACAGAAGCAGUGAGUAUAUAUUCUGAAAUGCGUUUGAGUGGUAUUUGUGCCAACCGGUACACGUACCCGUUUGUGCUGAAGGCUUGUGGGGUUUCACGGGAAAGAAAGAAUGGUCAGGUGAUUCAUGGGCAUGCAGUGAAAUCUGGGCUUGACACAGAUUUGUUUGUUGGGAAUGCCCUUGUAGCAUUUUAUGCCAAGUGUCAGGAAGUCGAUUUGUCUAGAAAAGUGUUUGAUGAAAUUCCAAAGAGAGAUCUUGUUAGUUGGAAUUCAAUGAUUUCCGGUUAUACUGUAAACGGCUAUGUAGAUGCUGCUCUGACAUUAUUCCGGGCUAUGCUGCGAGAUCAGGUAACCAGUGCACCUGAUAAUGCCACUCUCGUUGCCAUUCUUCCCGCUUGUGCCCAAGCAGCAGCUAUACAAUUAGGUUUCUGGAUUCAUUCUUACAUUAUAAAGACAAGCAUGGAAAUUAAUGCUGCACUAGGCAGUGGCCUUAUAUCCAUGUAUGCAAAUUGUGGCCGAGUCAACAUUGCCAGAGAUGUUUUUGAUGGAGUCUCUGAUAAGAACAUUGUGGUAUGGAAUGCAAUUAUAAGAUGUUAUGGUAUGCAUGGUUAUGCAGACGAGGCACUCCAAAUGUUCUCGCAAUUAAUAGAGAAUGGUAUACAACCAGAUGGGGUUAUAUUUUUGUGUCUGUUGUCUACAUGUAGUCAUGCAGGCCUGGUUGAAAAGGGGAGAGAACUGUUUGCAAGAAUGGGAGAUUAUGCAGUUGAUAAAAACGAGGAGCAUUAUGCUUGCAUGGUAGA
RNAcentral lists this unclassified non-coding RNA (1214 nucleotides) under Hevea brasiliensis (rubber tree). Lineage: Eukaryota; Viridiplantae; Streptophyta; Magnoliopsida; Malpighiales; Euphorbiaceae. The record is from RNAcentral.